This 491-nucleotide ribosomal RNA is filed under the name uncultured bacterium. Its description in RNAcentral is "partial 16S ribosomal RNA". It matches the Rfam family "Bacterial small subunit ribosomal RNA", at positions 28 to 507 of the family's 1533-position model. The record is from RNAcentral.
GAUGAACGCUGGCUACAGGCUUAACACAUGCAAGUCGAGGGGAAACGACGGGGAAGCUUGCUUCCCCGGGCGUCGACCGGCGCACGGGUGAGUAACGCGUAUCCAACCUGCCUCUGACUGAGGGAUAACCCGUCGAAAGUCGGCCUAAUACGUCAUGGUAUCGUCUGCGGGCAUCCAACGACGAUUAAAGAUUUCAUCGGUCAGGGAUGGGGAUGCGUCUGAUUAGCUUGUUGGCGGGGUAACGGCCCACCAAGGCUACGAUCAGUAGGGGUUCUGAGAGGAAGGUCCCCCACAUUGGAACUGAGACACGGUCCAAACUCCUACGGGAGGCAGCAGUGAGGAAUAUUGGUCAAUGGGCGAGAGCCUGAACCAGCCAAGUAGCGUGCAGGAAGACGGCCCUAUGGGUUGUAAACUGCUUUUAUGCGGGGAUAAAGUGAGGGACGUGUCCCUCAUUGCAGGUACCGCAUGAAUAAGGACCGGCUAAUUCCGUG